UCUCACUUCUGAGCCCUGGGAAUGUCGAUCUGGGGGAGACGCAAGCUCUCCCAAGAAGGGAAAAAUCCAUGACCUCGUUCUGUAGCUAUAUGAAGGUCUGGGAAAACAGCAGACAGGAGGAUGGUGCCAGCAAUGGGAGAACGGAGUAGAUGAACUUUUGAACAGGGAAGAUGAACUCAGCAGUGAGAAGCUAAAACAAGCAGGCAAGAAGCACAUCUGUUCUUCCAUACUUCCUUAUUUCUGGGCCACUGGUGGAAGGCAUCCCCCACACACCAUGUUUAGGGAUCCAGAAUCCAGAACAAUGACAGUCACUGAAUAAUAACUCGGGCCAUGGAUCUAGGAAUCAUCAUUCUUCUUUCUCUACUCUAUAAAGAGGCCCUGUUCCAACAGUUCAGUUAUCGACGCUCAGUGUGACAUCUCAUGAGACCAUGCUGACAGACUCCAUACAGGGAGAUGCCUCUCUGUCACUUCUUCAGGACAACAUAUCCAGAUUUUGGAGUACAGAGACUGAACCUGGAGGUCACCACUUGGCAGGCAACUAAAUCCCUGGGAUUCUUCUAUUUCUGCCUUCCAAUU
Arvicanthis niloticus (Nile rat) is the source of this 576-nucleotide non-coding RNA. The record is from RefSeq and is a predicted model, not a curated record. Lineage: Eukaryota; Metazoa; Chordata; Mammalia; Rodentia; Muridae.